GAAAUGCGAUAAGUAGUGUGAAUUGCAGAAUUCAGUGAAUCAUCGAAUCUUUGAACGCACAUUGCGCCCCUUGGUAUUCCAUGGGGCAUGCCUGUUCGAGCGUCAUUUGUACCUUCAAGCUUUGCUUGGUGUUGGGUGUUUGUCUCGCCUCUGCGCGCAGACUCGCCGCAAAACAAUUGGCAGCCGGCGUAUUGAUUUCGGAGCGCAGUACAUCUCGCGCUUUGCACUCAUAACGACGACGUCCAAAAAGUACAUUUUUUACACUCUUGACCUCGGAUCAGGUAGGGAUACCCGCUGAACUUAAGC
Molecule: unclassified non-coding RNA, 306 nt
Filed under: plant metagenome
Description: partial contains 5.8S ribosomal RNA, internal transcribed spacer 2, and large subunit ribosomal RNA
Rfam family: 5.8S ribosomal RNA (bases 1-105)
Source: RNAcentral